This 829-nucleotide long non-coding RNA is filed under the name Equus asinus (donkey). Its description in RNAcentral is "lncRNA (ENSEASG00005029894.1)". Lineage: Eukaryota; Metazoa; Chordata; Mammalia; Perissodactyla; Equidae. The record is from RNAcentral.
AGCCCCCAAUUCAACAAAGACUGAUGGAUACAAUAGGGGCAAGAAGGUAGCAGAAUCUGUACCUGAGGAAUCGCCCAGGUUUGGGCUGCAAGUGGAUUGGCAAAGAGCGGAGCAACCAUGGGGCUCCCUCAGUGAUCUCCUCGGGCAACAGUGAAGUCUUAAGGAUGAAGAGUUCUUGGAGGUCGAGCAUGACAUUUGAUUCUUCAAGGCGUGGAAAAGGAACGCUAACGGGCAUCGCCAGCAUUUCGUGAGUGGUUACUGCAGCUGGCCUGGAGCUCCUCGGUUUGCACAUGUUAGUCAUCUCAGUGAAUCCCUGUCACACCUCAGGAGAGAGCCACCAUUGGUUAUCUCCACUCUAUCUGUGAAGAAGGAGUCUGCCCGAGAUCACCCCCACCACCAGUGCGCCGGGGCAUCUGUCUGCGGCACAGCACAGCAUCCCUCUCCUGCCCUCCAGAUGUCCUUGACUCCCACCUUCAAAAGCAAGUUGACAUCCUCAUUCAAGAGCAAGGGCCAGCUUGGGUCCAUAUUCCUUCUGGAAACUUCCACAGAUGACCCAGCUUGCAUGGCCGCACUUCUCUGAAUGUCAUACACCUGUCUACUCCAGAGGAGGCAACUCUAAUGGGACCUAUGACAUCCAUCAUCAUGGACAGUUGUUAACCACUGAAUUAUUAUUUAACUCCUUGUCUCUGUGACGCUUUUUUCUCCACCCAGGCUGUUUCUUGGGGAGACUGUGUAUUAUGAGUCUUUGUUUUCCUGUAGCCCCCAGCACAUGUCUCUCUCCAUAUGUGAGACAAUCAAUGUUACUUGAAUAAAUGAAUAAGAGAAUGAA